RNAcentral lists this long non-coding RNA (1462 nucleotides) under Pogona vitticeps (central bearded dragon). RNAcentral describes it as "lncRNA (ENSPVIG00000021474.1)". The record is from RNAcentral. Lineage: Eukaryota; Metazoa; Chordata; Lepidosauria; Squamata; Agamidae.
GGCGUGGAAAGGGCUAUAUCGCCGUGUGUUUCUUCCCUCGGUCACGGGGGAGGGAAUUCACCGCCCUGGAGAGUUUGGUGCCUGAGGCGGCUGCUUCCUUUCGCUUCUCGGGCGGGCCCUCUGGCUACAACCCGGUUGACAGUUCGUUAGGUGGAACAUGCAGGAAGGAAAGCGAAGACUGUUGACCCCAGCGCCACUUCAAACUUUGCGGGAUAGGACGUGUGUGUGUGCGUGUUGCGGGGCGGGGGUGGUGGUGGAAGGAAGUUUUCGUCAGCAAUUGUGAGCCUUCGCUAAUACAUUAAAUUGCGAGGAAAACGCGCCAAAACCUCUCGACAGUGUCUUGCGGGUGCGGAGGCCUCGACACGUCCUCUGCCUCGCUCCGUCUUAUUCCCUACCUUUGCGCAAUACCUAAGCCUUUUUUUCCCCGUCUUGCCUGAGGGAGAGACACUACCUGCGUUUUCGAAGACCGCGGAAACUUCGUAAGGCAGGAAGGAGGGACGGGUCACUUUUCGGCGGCCCUCCGCCCUCUUCUUCUUUCCUUCCCUUUCCUCGUCCUACCGCCAAGCAGCUGCGGGCCUCCAGGGGAUCAGCCUUUCCUGCGCUGGCCGGGCAGGCGGCGGCGGCGGCUGCGCGCCCGCUGCUUCUGCUCCCAGUUAGAGGUGGCUCCUCCAUUUCCAUAUCAUCACUGGUGUUGCAACCUCACAGUCCUCUGCUGUUCUAUAGUGAAGGAGAAAAUGUAGAAGAAAGGAAGUGAAGGGGAGUGAAAACACACUUGAGAAUGUUUGCCUUCAGUAGCAAAUAUAUGCCAUUAUGAAUAAUUAUUUCUGGAAUUCUUUAAUUAGUGGGCCUGGAGUUACCAUCUUUGUUCUUUGCUUAUAUCUAAUACAAGUACAGACUGGUUCUGACAGUCUUUGGGAGGGAGUGCUGGAGGAUUUGAACCAAAUCGAAAAGACAGAGAUGGAUGUCUUUUUAUACACUGCAGAUGCAAAAUUUCCGGCUAAUUGUAGUGUACGUGUAAAGAAAUGUUUUGUUGAGGAGAUGAAAGUAAUUGUAUAUGAGUCUCAGCUUGAAAACAAUAACAAGGUUCGUGGCACCAUGAGUAGAAUUAUCAGAAUUGUCAUGGAGGAUUUAGAAGGCAGGCAGAACACAGAAAUAUCCCAGUGCCAAAAAUGUGAAACAUUUGAAGAAAAAAAUUAUGGAGAAUUUAUGGAAAGCUUCAGGAAGAAUGUACAAAGAUGGCAUAGAGAAGAUACUGAAGCAAAGAGGGGUUUUAAAGAAACUUUUGUAUCUUAAAUGCAAUUUCAUGUAUCAAAACUGAAGUAAAUUUAUAUGAAGGAAAUUUCCAUAAUGUGUGGUUAAGAGUUACUGGUAUUUUAACACUCAGAUCUGAUUUCCAUGCCACUUUAGAGUCUGGAGCAACUGUGUAACUUUUUCUCAUAAUCAUUGUUACAUGGUGCAUGUA